UAUAACUUAAGUGAUUUUAGUCUAAAAUUUGUAUGUUCAUCAGUUUUUUUGGGAGUUAAUCAGACUCAUAAAACUUUGGGCCAAUGGUGUGUUGUGUUCAUGUCAUUCGGGGUGAAAGAGAUGGAUUUGGGGGAAGAUGUUGAUGCUGUUGAUGGUGGUUUGUAGUAUGAAUGGAUCGAGGCAUAUGGGGGUAGUUCACUCCUCAAAAUGAUUUAUAAGGCUCUAGAUUAGGUUGUGAAACUCUCGGAGUGCA
Molecule: long non-coding RNA, 253 nt
Organism: Gossypium raimondii (Peruvian cotton)
Lineage: Eukaryota; Viridiplantae; Streptophyta; Magnoliopsida; Malvales; Malvaceae
Exons: 3
Source: RefSeq, a predicted model, not a curated record